GAAAUUAGUGAUAUGAAAUUGGCCCAUCUAACAGUGACACCUCAAUACCAGCUCGAAAGUCCACGUGCUAUUUGGGAAUAUACUGGAUUCUCAGCAAUAUGUGGAAUGGGGAGAGAAGGCGUUUCUCUAACAACACAUUUUCAAGUCAAAAGGAAGAAUUAGAUAACAGGAGGAAUUAAAUGUAGUCAUUUUUUAAAAUGAAAAAUGUUCUUGAAAUGAUUCAAUGUUUAGUUUAUCUUGAGCUCAAUUAUUCAACAACAGACAGCAAGCACUAUUUGGAUCACUCUGGCUAUACCAUAAGGCCAACUCCAUAGGGACAAUGGUGGCAUUUGGGUAAUGAUGCAAGGCAAGGUGGCUACUACAGAAGAAGGGAUUUGGGACUAGAAAUCAGGCCACAGAUAUUCUAGUACUGAGCCUACCACUCGCCAGCUGUGUGAUCCUGGUCACGUUGUGUGAACUCUCUAGGCCCUGGUAGCUACCUCAUCCCUCAUCUUUUAAAUGACAAGGUUGUCCUAGUGGAAAAGCUCUAAAGCUAGGCUGUACCUUAGAAUUACCUGGAGAGCUGUUUAAAAUUAUCAACAUCCUGGAGUUCCAGUCGUGGCGCAGUGAUAAUGAACCCGACUAGUAUCCAUGAGGGCGCAGUCAAUCCCUGGCCUUGCUCAGUGGGUUAAGGAUCUAGCAUUGCCAUGAGCUGUAGUGUAGGUCGCAGAUGCAGCUUCGAUUUGACCCCUAGCCUGGGAACUUCCACAUGCUGCGGGUAUAGCCCUACAAAGACAAAAAAUAAUAAUAAUAAAUAAAUAAAAUUAUUAACAUCCUGGUCUCACUGCAUGCCAACUAAACCAGAAUCUUUAGGGAUGAGGCCAGCCUCUAAUUAUAUUUUAAAGCCUCACGGGGUGACUCUUCUGUGCAAUGGAAGUUUGAAAACCACUGCUCCCCUUUCCCUUAUUCCACACCUUGAUUCUAUUCCAGACUAAAAAGUUAUCUGAACAUGGAGUUCCCGUCGUGGCUCAGUGGUUAACAAAUCCAACUAGGAACGAUGAGGUUGUGGGUUCAAUCCCUGGCCUUGCUCAUGGGCUAAGGAUCUGACGUUGUCAUGAGCUGUGGUGUAGGCCGGCAACUAUAGCUCUGAUAAGACCCCCUAGCCUGAGAAUCUCCAUAUGCCGUGGGUUCGGCCCUAAAAAGACAAAAAAUAAUAUAAAAAUAAACAAAUAAAAUAAAUGUAAAAGCGAAGUGGCAUAAUGAGAACUUAUGAAAAGCAGGGGAUACCUACACUAACCUUUUAAAAAGCACAUAUAAAACUAUAUAUACUUGUGCUAUGUUGGCAAUUACAUAGGAUAAGGCUAAAGGAUAUAAAUUAUUUCUAAAUGCUGCCAUAGUUGUACUCAAUAUAUUUGUAUUUUUCCUGUUUCUGCUAUCCAAACAUCUUACAUAGAAUUAAUAUUACUUUUUUUUUUUUUUAAUCUUUUUAGGGCCGAACCCAUGGCACACAGAGGUUCCCAGACUGGGGUGGAAUCCGAGCUGGCCUACACCACAACCACAGCAACGCAGGAUCCGAGCCGUGUCUGUGACCUACACCACAGCUCACGGCAGUGCUGGAUCCUUAACCCACUGAGCGAGGCCUGGGAUCAAACCUUCAACCUCAUGGAUGCUACUCAGAUUCAUUUCCACUGAGCCACAAUGAGAACUCCUUAAUAUUACUUUCAUAAAAAACAAUUAAUGCAUACAUCUAAAAUAUAUUACAAAACCAUACAUGAAGUAUAUAUACACUAAUAUUUGAAUAUACAUGCAUUUUAGAAAAUGAUUUUGUCACAGACCAAUAGGGGAAAACAAGGAUACUUCAUCCUUUGUCACACAAAAUGCAAGCUUCCUAUUUGGAUAACAAAGUACAACUUUAUUAGGCAAGAUUCUCUUCAAUUCACUCGACUAGGUAUACAGCAGGGAGACUUCCCAAGAGCCAGUGGAAAGGGUUAAUCCCAUCAUUCAUGCUGGUCUUGGCCUAGCUACUAAAAAUAGAAACAUCUUACAUCUGGAGAAAUAUUGAGCUGGGUGAUAAUCAACAAGUCACCUGACCUCCAUGUUUUGGUUUCCACAUUGUUUAAAAAAUGAACGAGAAAGAGAACAAAAGUACAAUCCAAAUCACUAUAAAUACACAAAAUAAGCCAAUAAUAUCCGAAAUGAAAUGUAAGAAGACAAACAAACAUCUUAAAGGCACAUCAUCAGGAUUCGAACGUUGGCCAUACACUAAAAGCACUCAAGACACCGGGAUGUGAAACCUUUCUCUUUGACAGUGAAAACCACCUAUGCGUUCACUUCGGUAAACGCAUCCAUCUCAAAACUCCCGCUCUCAGCAUCCACCUACAAGGUCUUCGCUUUUCCAUUCUCUUAACUCUUGUAAACUAUUGUAUAACAUUUUCACGCCUUUUAUACCUUUUUAAGCGUUUAUACUACAAAAAUCUCACGGAAGAGCACCUUUUCUCUAACCGGUUUGUUGGUCCCUUUCACCAAAAGUUUGGCCUCUAACCCUCGCUCUACCCACAAAGUUCAGUUCACAGGAAAUGCUGACUUAAACUAGAAAUUAAUUCCCGGCCCUACCGCAGAUUUGGCGCCAGUUUAAAGGGGUCCUAGAAUAAAAUCCUAGCAGGAAAUCCUAAAAGUGGUGGUUCAGGUCUUUAAUUUUGAUAAGUAUAAAAGUGGAGUUUUUCUAGGUUUUGCUGGCCACACAAACACUGUCGGUGGGUGUGCGUUGGCAUGAACUUUCCGAAAGGUCACAAACUCAGAAAGGAAAACGAAAGCGAAAUUUAGGGUGCGAAACUUAGGGUGUUUCAAAGGUGAAACCCCCCCGGCCUCUGUGGCAGCAGCAGUGCGUGCACUAACUGAAAGCCUUGCUUGCAGGCACUGAUCACACCCC
Molecule: long non-coding RNA, 2908 nt
Filed under: Sus scrofa (pig)
Lineage: Eukaryota; Metazoa; Chordata; Mammalia; Artiodactyla; Suidae
Description: lncRNA (ENSSSCG00005028803.1)
Source: RNAcentral